UCAACUCUAACUCCACUAGGAAGGUCUGUUGUAAAGUGUAAUUGUUCUUCUGCACAAAUACACCCAUUGUGCAAAGUAUUCAAUAAUUUACCAAAAAUGUUUGGUGUCGGGUUUAUCUAUUGACACUUUAUCCGCUUUACUUUCAGCAAUCACAAUCAUGUAAUCAGAUUCGUGUGUCGACCUAUUUGACAUUACUUUCCUCUAUAGUACAAACAAGCCAGCACCUAAGCUAUUGAUGCCUAUUACAUGUUCUUAAGGUGAAUGUGUGUACGAGAACAUGAUAUUUCUGCCUGAGUGAGCUCUGGCGAGUCAAAAAUUGAAAGUGUUUGGGCACAGAAGAAUCGCCCGCAAAGCCGUAAAAUCGGUUGGAUUGUG
Molecule: long non-coding RNA, 375 nt
Filed under: Medicago truncatula (barrel medic)
Lineage: Eukaryota; Viridiplantae; Streptophyta; Magnoliopsida; Fabales; Fabaceae
Description: long non-coding RNA (MTRU_LNC006432)
Source: RNAcentral